Daphnia pulex (common water flea) is the source of this 366-nucleotide long non-coding RNA. RefSeq lists it as uncharacterized. Lineage: Eukaryota; Metazoa; Arthropoda; Branchiopoda; Diplostraca; Daphniidae. The transcript is spliced from 4 exons. The record is from RefSeq and is a predicted model, not a curated record.
UGAAGACCACAUGGAGUGGAAUACAAAUCUGCCGAGAUAAGGAUCUUUUCUGAAUCUUUCAAUUUUGGUGGCGUACCCUGCCAGGCUGCCACAGCAUGUUUGUUGUAAUGUAUGUUUUUACUUCUGUUUUUAGAAGACAACCCAGCUAAGAGAUAGUUUCAGAGACAUGAAGCGUGUGAAGUGAAUAACCUGCCAUGUGUAUGAACAUGUACCAGAUCUGCUUGAUGAAAGUCAAAUGCCUACUAAAUUCAUCGCCCAUAUGAUAAGCACCAGGAAAUUUACCUCAACCUAAGGAGUAAGGCUGUUGAUUGAUGUGAAUUCAAUUUUUACGGUUUUUUCAUCAUGAGCAUUUCAGUGUGCUUAUUA